GUGGCACCCAGAGUCGGUCCUGUAGCUGGGCCGGCUUGGGGCUUGGUUCUAUGUCCCUGUGGGUCGGUGCAAGGGCCAAGAGGAACCCGUAGGCCUCAGGGAAUCCCAGGGGGCCGGACCAGUGUUCCCUAGUUGUGGAAGCAGACGCAUGGGCGAAUCGCGGGAGGGCAGGGCCUGAAGAGCAGGUGCGGGCCACGGACCCAGGCGGAGGCUGGGAGGACAGGCGUGGGGUCCCAGCAGUGAAGCGGGUUCUAGAGGCACAGGAGCGGGUAGGAGAGGCCAGUGGCCCUAGGCCCAGAGUCUGCAGGCCGCGCUCCUGUCCUGCCGCUGAGGGACACGGUUACCAACCAGCAUGAUGCUCAGUUUGCCCAUCUGUCCCAGUGCUAACACACAGUUCUCAGGAGACUUUCCCCAUUCCCAGAGGAGUAGUGUGAAACGCGUGCGCCGCUAGUCUUAAACUUGGUGUUUGUAUUAGUUGGGUUUCCUGGUGUCUCUUUAGCAAGUGAAGUUUCUGGUUCCCUCCUUCACUGUGUGACCUGCCUAGUCCUCCUGGGUCGCAUUUACAGAAGUUUAUACGAGACCUAGUUUCCAGGGAAGAACUCACUGAUUCCACAAGGGAGAUGGCAUAAUAGAUGAUGGUCGUCAGCCUUAAGGGUACUUCAGUCUUAACUGUGUGUUACAAAGUUUGAAAGGGAGGGUUCCCUAUGAAUAAGAAGCACACUUGAAAGAACAGCCAUCUGGUCUAACCUCUCACUGGUGCUUCAGAGGAGGAAAAAAGGUCACAGCUAUGUUUCCAGUGUCCUCUGGGUGUUUCCAAGAGCAACAAGAAACGAAUAAAUAUCUGG
RNAcentral lists this long non-coding RNA (845 nucleotides) under Homo sapiens (human). RNAcentral describes it as "long independently transcribed non-coding RNA 1666 (LINC01666)". The record is from RNAcentral. Lineage: Eukaryota; Metazoa; Chordata; Mammalia; Primates; Hominidae.